Molecule: ribosomal RNA, 700 nt
Filed under: uncultured Bacilli bacterium
Lineage: Bacteria; Bacillati; Bacillota; Bacilli
Description: bacterial SSU rRNA
Rfam family: Bacterial small subunit ribosomal RNA
Source: RNAcentral
GACGAACGCUGGCGGCGUGCCUAAUACAUGCAAGUAGAACGCUGAAGAGAGGAGCUUGCUCUUCUUGGAUGAGUUGCGAACGGGUGAGUAACGCGUAGGUAACCUGCCUUGUAGCGGGGGAUAACUAUUGGAAACGAUAGCUAAUACCGCAUAACAAUGGAUGACACAUGUCAUUUAUUUGAAAGGGGCAAUUGCUCCACUACAAGAUGGACCUGCGUUGUAUUAGCUAGUAGGUGAGGUAAUGGCUCACCUAGGCGACGAUACAUAGCCGACCUGAGAGGGUGAUCGGCCACACUGGGACUGAGACACGGCCCAGACUCCUACGGGAGGCAGCAGUAGGGAAUCUUCGGCAAUGGGGGCAACCCUGACCGAGCAACACCGCGUGAGUGAAGAAGGUUUUCGGAUCGUAAAGCUCUGUUGUAAGUCAAGAACGGGUGUGAGAGUGGAAAGUUCACACUGUGACGGUAGCUUACCAGAAAGGGACGGCUAACUACGUGCCAGCAGCCGCGGUAAUACGUAGGUCCCGAGCGUUGUCCGGAUUUAUUGGGCGUAAAGCGAGCGCAGGCGGUUUGAUAAGUCUGAAGUUAAAGGCUGUGGCUCAACCAUAGUUCGCUUUGGAAACUGUCAAACUUGAGUGCAGAAGGGGAGAGUGGAACUCCAUGUGUAGCGGUGAAAUGCGUAGAUAUAUGGAGGAACACCG